RNAcentral lists this ribosomal RNA (262 nucleotides) under uncultured bacterium. RNAcentral's name for it is "partial 16S ribosomal RNA". It matches the Rfam family "Bacterial small subunit ribosomal RNA", at positions 793 to 1055 of the family's 1533-position model. The record is from RNAcentral.
GUCCACGCCGUAAACGUUGGGCACUAGGUGUGGGGUUCUAUCGACGGAUUCCGUGCCGUAGCUAACGCAUUAAGUGCCCCGCCUGGGGAGUACGGCCGCAAGGCUAAAACUCAAAGGAAUUGACGGGGGCCCGCACAAGCGGCGGAGCAUGUUGCUUAAUUCGAUGCAACGCGAAGAACCUUACCUGGGUUUGACAUGUAGGGAAAAGCCGUAGAGAUACGGUGUCCUUCGGGGCCCUACACAGGUGGUGCAUGGCUGUCGU